UAGGGAAUCUUCCGCAAUGGGCGAAAGCCUGACGGAGCAACGCCGCGUGAGUGAUGAAGGUCUUCGGAUCGUAAAACUCUGUUAUUAGGGAAGAACAAAUGUGUAAGUAACUAUGCACGUCUUGACGGUACCUAAUCAGAAAGCCACGGCUAACUACGUGCCAGCAGCCGCGGUAAUACGUAGGUGGCAAGCGUUAUCCGGAAUUAUUGGGCGUAAAGCGCGCGUAGGCGGUUUUUUAAGUCUGAUGUGAAAGCCCACGGCUCAACCGUGGAGGGUCAUUGGAAACUGGAAAACUUGAGUGCAGAAGAGGAAAGUGGAAUUCCUUGUGUAGCGGUGAAAUGCGCAGAGAUAUGGAGGAACACCAGUGGCGAAGGCGACUUUCUGGUCUGUAACUGACGCUGAUGUGCGAAAGCGUGGGGAUCAAACAGG
Molecule: ribosomal RNA, 429 nt
Filed under: Actinomycetes bacterium
Lineage: Bacteria; Bacillati; Actinomycetota; Actinomycetes
Description: Actinobacteria bacterium partial 16S ribosomal RNA
Rfam family: Bacterial small subunit ribosomal RNA
Source: RNAcentral